RNAcentral lists this microRNA precursor (117 nucleotides) under Pelobates cultripes (western spadefoot toad). The record is from RNAcentral. Lineage: Eukaryota; Metazoa; Chordata; Amphibia; Anura; Pelobatidae.
CUGGCGCUUGUGCAUUCACAUCCUUUAUUCCCACCUGUGCAUUCACAUUUCUUUAUAUCUGAAGAAAUGUGAAUGCACAGGUGGGAGUAAAGGAUGUGAAUGCACAGGUGGGAGUAA